Molecule: ribosomal RNA, 468 nt
Filed under: uncultured bacterium
Lineage: Bacteria
Description: partial 16S ribosomal RNA
Rfam family: Bacterial small subunit ribosomal RNA
Source: RNAcentral
GACGAACGCUGGCGGCGUGCUUAACACAUGCAAGUCGAACGGAAAGGCCCUGCUUUUGUGGGGUGCUCGAGUGGCGAACGGGUGAGUAACACGUGAGUAACCUGCCCUUGACUUUGGGAUAACUUCAGGAAACUGGGGCUAAUACCGGAUAGGAGCUCCUGCUGCAUGGUGGGGGUUGGAAAGUUUCGGCGGUUGGGGAUGGACUCGCGGCUUAUCAGCUUGUUGGUGGGGUAGUGGCUUACCAAGGCUUUGACGGGUAGCCGGCCUGAGAGGGUGACCGGCCACAUUGGGACUGAGAUACGGCCCAGACUCGUACGGGAGGCAGCGGUGGGGAAUAUUGCACAAUGGGCGGAAGCCUGAUGCAGCGACGCCGCGUGCGGGAUGACGGCCUUCGGGUUGUAAACCGCUUUCGCCUGUGACGAAGCGUGAGUGACGGUAAUGGGUAAAGAAGCACCGGCUAACUACGUG